Mirounga angustirostris (Northern elephant seal) is the source of this 4801-nucleotide RNA transcript. It is a transcript of the gene named chondroitin polymerizing factor 2, with no coding region annotated. The transcript has 6 exons. The record is from RefSeq and is a predicted model, not a curated record. NCBI's taxonomy places the organism in Eukaryota, Metazoa, Chordata, Mammalia, Carnivora, Phocidae.
ACCGGGACUGACGGCGAGCGGAAGAGGAAGGCGCGGGCCGGGCUGUGAGGUGGCAGCGGCUGCGGCGGCGGAGCGGGCGCCUCGGCCGGGCACCGGGGUCUGUUUCCCCUUCCCCGCCCUUCCCCCUGCAGGGGCGACAGGGCCGCAGCCCCCGACGGCAGGAGCAGGUCCCACCCCACGCCCUCGCCCCUGCUCCCCAGGACGGCGCUGGCCGCAUCGGCCACACCGGGCGGCGCAUUACCGGUCCGCCGCCUCCCCUGGCCCUGCUGCAGGGCCUCCGCCUGUGGGACUCGGGUGUGCCUGCUGUCCCUCGCCCGCUGGCGCAGGCAGGGCCUUUGCCCCGCCGACGGGCCUGAUAACGGCGUCUUUGCCUUCCUCGCCCAGCCGCGACCUCCAUUCCCUCCGCGCGAACAAACCGAGCUGAGCCCCCCAGCCCCUCCUCGACAGUUCCGUGGCGCAGCCGGUUUUAUUUCUGUUUUGAGACUAACAGCUAAAACUCGCGUUGGGCCUUCCUUCUAGGACUGGACUUGGUCUUUGAUCGCUGAGAGGGAGAGCGGCGGCGCUCGUCCUGGCAGCGGUCACGUCCGAAGCCGGCCGGGCCUCCGUUUGCUUUCACAGGAUCCCGGUGUCGUCUCAGCUGCUUCUCGUCCUCCCACUUUGGUUUGGCUUGGGUACCAGGGGUCCCGGUAAAACCAGACGCUGAACUGCUCUUACACGGCCAGAGUUACUGUCAUUCGCUUCCUGUCUCCUCUCAGAAGAAGGUGGACGGCACCGGCCUCUGAGCAGCUGGGAUUCGGAGAAUUGCCCCGCAGCAUGGUUCCAUCAGCCGUUGUGCUCCUCUGAGAGGCUCUCAGUGCUGAGUCACGUCUCUGUCCGCCUCCUGUGGGUGGGCAGAACUGCGCACCAUGGCAGAGGCUCUUGACCACUCUUGCCUGGGAGGAGGGGUUACUCUAGUAGCUGUGUGUUUCCUUAACACUCAGGAGUAGAGUAGAAAGAGGCCCUUAACCCUUCCCCCGUGCUGGCCUUCAGUAGCUAGUCUUCAAUAGCUAGUCGGCAGCCCCUUCGGUGAACUGAGUGAGAACCGUGCCCUCAGCCAGGUGCUCUUUGAAAAAGGCCCACUGACGAAGGCUCUUGUUGAGGCUGUUACUUUGAUGGAGUAUGUGCUUUUCCCCAACCCUUUCUAUAUCAGCUGCUGCUGUAUCGACUUAGAUCCGGUCUACAGAUGUGUGUAGUCCUUCAUUUUGGGUUAGAUUUGGCAGGAUUAAGUUUUGUUCCCUCCUCUUUCUGGAAGACAGACCAUAAUCCCGUUCAUGGGUGAAAUUGACUCUAAUAUGUAUUGCCAUUUAGACUGAGGGUUAAAUCUGGCACCUCGAGGACUGAAGCCCAGCCAUACGCUUCCUGGGGAUGCUGGGCCUGGAAGCAAGCACAGCUUGCUCUGUCGUUGACUUCACUGACCCUAGGUUUCCUGGUUAAAAACUGCAGGCCUACUAUUGGCCUAAUACCCAUCCAACCUAUUGAUUGAUCCUUCAAGCCGUGCCCUCUGGGGCAUACGUAUGGCAGGGCCUACCACCAUGCGACUGAGCUCCCUGUUGGCUGUGCUUCGACCAGCACUGCCCCUCAUCCUAGGGCUGUCUCUGGGAUGCAGCCUGAGCCUCUUGCGGGUUUCCUGGAUCCAGGGUGAGGGAGAAGAUCCUUGUGUAGAAGCUGUGGGGGAACCAGGAGUGCCACAUAAUCCAGACUCAAGAACUGGACUCGACCAAAGUGAUGAAGACUUCAAACCCCGGAUUGUCCCUUACUACAGGGAUCCCAACAAGCCCUAUAAGAAGGUGCUCAGGACUCGGUAUAUCCAAACAGAGCUGGGCUCUCGGGAGCGGUUGCUGGUGGCUGUCCUGACCUCCAGGGCUACCCUGUCCACUCUGGCUGUGGCUGUCAACCGCACAGUGGCCCACCACUUCCCCCGAUUACUGUACUUCACGGGGCAGCGAGGGGCGCGGACUCCUGCAGGAAUGCAGGUGGUAUCUCACGGGGACGAACGGCCAGCCUGGCUCAUGUCAGAGACCCUGCGCCAUCUCCACACACACUUUGGGGCCGACUACGACUGGUUCUUCAUCAUGCAGGAUGACACGUAUGUACAGGCCCCCCGCCUGGCAGCCCUUGCUGGCCACCUCAGCAUCAACCAAGACCUGUACUUGGGCCGAGCCGAGGAGUUUAUUGGCGCAGGCGAGCAGGCCCAGUACUGCCACGGGGGCUUUGGCUACCUGUUGUCACGGAGUCUCCUGCUUCGAUUGCGGCCCCAUCUGGACGGCUGCCGAGGAGACAUUCUCAGUGCCCGUCCUGAUGAGUGGCUUGGCCGCUGCCUCAUCGACUCUCUGGGCAUCGGCUGUGUCUCCCAGCACCAGGGGCAGCAGUAUCGUUCAUUUGAACUGGCCAAAAAUAGGGACCCGGAGAAGGAGGGGAGCUCGGCUUUCCUGAGUGCCUUCGCAGUGCACCCCGUCUCCGAGGGAGCCCUCAUGUACAGGCUGCAUAAGCGCUUCAGUGCUCUGGAGCUGGAGCGGGCAUACAGCGAGAUAGAGCAACUGCAGGCUCAGAUCCAGAACCUGACCGUGCUGACCCCCGAGGGCGAGGCAGGGCUGAGCUGGCCCAUCGGGCUCCCGGCCCCUUUCACGCCACACUCUCGAUUUGAGGUGCUGGGCUGGGACUACUUCACAGAGCAGCAUACCUUCUCCUGUGCAGACGGGUCCCCCAAGUGCCCACUGCAGGGGGCCAGCAGGGCCGAUGUGGGUGACGCCGUGGAGACUGCUCUGGAGCAGCUGAAUCGGCGCUACCAGCCCCGCCUGCGCUUUCAGAAGCAGCGGCUGCUCAACGGCUAUCGGCGCUUCGACCCGGCGCGGGGCAUGGAGUACACCCUGGACCUCCUGCUGGAAGCCGUGACGCAGCGCGGGCACCGGCGGGCCCUGGCCCGCAGGGUCAGCCUGCUGCGGCCGCUGAGCCGGGUGGAGAUCCUGCCCAUGCCCUACGUCACGGAGGCCACCCGCGUGCAGCUCGUGCUGCCACUCCCGGCGGCCGAGGCCGCCGCAGCCCUGGCUUUCCUGGAGGCCUUUGCGGCCGGCGUCCUGGAGCCACGAGACCACGCGCUGCUCACCCUGCUGCUGGUCUACGGACCCCGGGAAGGUGGCCGAGGGGCCCCAGACCCAUUCGUUGGGGUGAAGGCGGCAGCGGCCGAGUUAGAGCGACGGUACCCGGGGACCAGGCUGGCCUGGCUCGCCGUGCGCGCAGAGGCCCCUUCCCAGGUGCGGCUCAUGGACGUGGUCUCUAAGAAGCACCCCGUGGACACACUCUUCUUCCUCACCACCGUGUGGACCAGGCCCGGGCCCGAAGUCCUCAACCGUUGCCGAAUGAACGCCAUCUCUGGCUGGCAGGCCUUCUUCCCGGUGCAUUUCCAGGAGUUCAACCCUGCCCUGGCACCACAGAGAUCUCCGCCAGGGCCCCCGGGAGCCGGCCCUGACCCCCCGUCCCCUCCCGGUGCCGACCCUGCCCGGGGGGCUCCCGUAGGUGGCAGGUUUGACCGGCAGGCGUCCGCGGAGGGCUGCUUCUACAACGCCGACUACCUGGCGGCCCGAGCCCGGCUGGCCGGUGAACUGGCAGGCCAGGAAGAGGAGGAAGCCCUGGAGGGGCUGGAGGUGAUGGAUGUUUUCCUCCGGUUCUCAGGGCUCCACCUCUUCCGGGCCGUGGAGCCAGGGCUGGUGCAGAAGUUCUCCCUGCGGGACUGUAGCCCACGGCUCAGCGAGGAGCUCUACCACCGCUGCCGCCUCAGCAACCUGGAGGGGCUGGGGGGCCGGGCGCAGCUCGCCGUGGCGCUGUUUGAGCCCGAGCAGGCCAACAGCACCUAGCUCGGCCCGGGGCCCUGGCCCUCCGUGCGGCUCCCCUCUCGGCCGCGGCCCCGGCAGGGCAAGGCAAAACGGACGGACAGAUGGAGAGCUUGUGCUGUAUUUUUUUAAUAAGAUAAAUGUUAUUAAAAGUGUCUUCUGCCAAACUGUUUUUAGGUCUAGGGGAAACGGAGUAAAGAGAAGACUCUGAGGGAGGGGGUGGGCAGUCUUCCCAGAGGGACCCACCGCCUUCCCCUUGUCCUUCCUCCCCAGUUGCCAAUGACACACAAGUCUGCUCUCAGAUGCAUGACCUUUAAUCAUUCCCCUGCCUCACCCAGAAGGUGGCAGAGGAGUGUGGCAGAGCCCCGGGGGGCCAGGGCCCGGGGCGCGGAGGCCCACAGUGGGCUCAUUCGCGGGGGCUCCUAGGUGUUGCGUACAACCAGCGACUGCUCCAGCUCCUGCCUGCGCUGCUGGAUCUUGAGGAAAAUAAGAGCAGUAGCAGGGUUACGCUGUUGCUGUGCUCCCUGCGUCCCCUUCACCUUGAGGUCCCGGCUCUGGGAGCGGAGCAGGUCUUGGAUGUAGCCUUUGGGGUCUCUGGAGAAGCUUAGCAUGAAGUCCCUCUGGAUCUUGAGCUGGUUUAUGGACUCAAUCGUCUCAUGGAUCUACAGGCCGCCCACCCCUGGCCGGGGCUGACUCCCUAACCCAUGGCGCAAACAUCUCGUCUGUCCUCAGCUCAGCCCCAUACCCACCCCAGGACACCUGGAGAGACCUGGGCCAGGACGUACGUCAUCCAGGAGCUUCCCCUCCACCCGCAGCUCCCAGGAGGCAAUGCUGCCAUCAGAAUCUUCAGCAUCGGGCUUCGCAGGGUUAAAAGUAUUGGAGAUAUAAAGACGCAGCUUCCGCUUUUGCUGUAGAAAUAAAGAGUGUAGUACAGA